Long non-coding RNA from Hibiscus syriacus, 213 nucleotides. RefSeq lists it as uncharacterized. The record is from RefSeq and is a predicted model, not a curated record. The transcript has 2 exons. NCBI's taxonomy places the organism in Eukaryota, Viridiplantae, Streptophyta, Magnoliopsida, Malvales, Malvaceae.
UUAACUAUUAUUAGUUAAAUCUACAAACAGAUUAAUGGACAUUAUCUAUGUUAUACUUGUGUCGACAUGACAACAAAUUUGGGUGCAGAAUACAUGUAAUGGCACUAGUUAUACAAACUUAGGUCUUUCACAUGAGCUAAAUCAAACACCAAAAAUGAAGUGGCCAGAGAGAUUUCUGGGUCAUGUGAAGAAAACCCCAAUCCACAAUUGAAC